GCUCAGGAUGAACGCUGGCGGCGUGCCUAAUACAUGCAAGUCGAGCGAACAGAUAAGGAGCUUGCUCCUUUGACGUUAGCGGCGGACGGGUGAGUAACACGUGGGUAACCUACCUAUAAGACUGGAAUAACUCCGGGAAACCGGGGCUAAUGCCGGAUAACAUGUUGAACCGCAUGGUUCUACAGUGAAAGACGGUCUUGCUGUCACUUAUAGAUGGACCCGCGCCGUAUUAGCUAGUUGGUGGGGUAACGGCCUACCAAGGCGACGAUACGUAGCCGACCUGAGAGGGUGAUCGGCCACACUGGAACUGAGACACGGUCCAGACUCCUACGGGAGGCAGCAGUAGGGAAUCUUCCGCAAUGGGCGAAAGCCUGACGGAGCAACGCCGCGUGAGUGAUGAAGGUCUUCGGAUCGUAAAGCUCUGUUGUUAGGGAAGAACAAAUGUGUAAGUAACUGUGCACAUCUGACGGUACC
This 474-nucleotide ribosomal RNA is filed under the name uncultured Staphylococcus sp. RNAcentral's name for it is "bacterial SSU rRNA". It matches the Rfam family "Bacterial small subunit ribosomal RNA", at positions 22 to 479 of the family's 1533-position model. Lineage: Bacteria; Bacillati; Bacillota; Bacilli; Caryophanales; Staphylococcaceae. The record is from RNAcentral.